AGAGUUUGAUCAUGGCUCAGAACGAACGCUGGCGGCGUGGAUAAGACAUGCAAGUCGAACGGGAAUUUUGAAAAGCUUGCUUUUUAAAAUUCUAGUGGCGGACGGGUGCGUAACACGUGAGCAACCUGCCCAAAAGAGGGGGAUAGCCCGGGGAAACUCGGAUUAAUACCGCGUAUGGUACGGAAAGGCAUCUUUCCAGUAUUAAAGGUGGGGAUCACUUCGGUGACCUGCCGCUUUUGGAUGGGCUCGCGGCCUAUCAGCUUGUUGGUGAGGUAAAGGCUCACCAAGGCUACGACGGGUAACUGGUCUGAGAGGACGAUCAGUCACACUGGAACUGAGACACGGUCCAGACACCUACGGGUGGCAGCAGUCGAGAAUCAUUCGCAAUGGGGGAAACCCUGACGGUGCGACGCCGCGUGGAGGAUGAAGGCCCUAGGGUCGUAAACUCCUGUCAUUAGAGAGUAAGACUUAUCGGUUAAUAACCGGUAAGUUUGAUAGUAUCUGAAGAGGAAGGGACGGCUAACUUCGUGCCAGCAGCCGCGGUAAUACGAAGGUCCCAAGCGUUGUUCGGAUUUACUGGGCGUAAAGCGUGCGUAGGCGGCGAGGUAAGUCAGAUGUGAAAUCCCGGGGCUCAACCCCGGAACUGCAUCCGAUACUGCCUUGCUAGAGUAAUGGAGGGGCAUCUGGAAUUCAUGGUGUAGCAGUGAAAUGCGUAGAUAUCAUGAGGAACACUAGUGGCGAAGGCGAGAUGCUGGACAUUUACUGACGCUGAGGUACGAAGGCCAGGGUAGCGAAAAGGAUUAGAUACCCUUGUAGUCCUGGCAGUAAACGGUGCUCGCUUGGUGUGGGGAGGUUCGACCCUCUCCGUGCCGGAGCUAACGCGUUAAGCGAGCCGCCUGGGGAGUACGGUCGCAAGACUAAACUCAAAGGAAUUGACGG
Molecule: ribosomal RNA, 939 nt
Filed under: uncultured bacterium
Lineage: Bacteria
Description: bacterial SSU rRNA
Rfam family: Bacterial small subunit ribosomal RNA
Source: RNAcentral